This 504-nucleotide ribosomal RNA is filed under the name uncultured Verrucomicrobiaceae bacterium. RNAcentral describes it as "bacterial SSU rRNA". It matches the Rfam family "Bacterial small subunit ribosomal RNA", at positions 551 to 1050 of the family's 1533-position model. Lineage: Bacteria; Pseudomonadati; Verrucomicrobiota; Verrucomicrobiia; Verrucomicrobiales; Verrucomicrobiaceae. The record is from RNAcentral.
UCACUGGGCGUAAAGCGUGUGUAGGCUGCGCGGAAAGUCAAAUGUGAAAGCCCGGGGCUCAACCUCGGAACUGCAUUCGAUACUCCCGUGCUAGAGUAAUGGAGAGGUAAGUGGAAUUCCUGGUGUAGCAGUGAAAUGCGUGGAUAUCAGGAGGAACAUCAAUGGCGAAGGCAACUUACUGGACAUUUACUGACGCUCAGACACGAAGGCUAGGGUAGCGAAAGGGAUUAGAUACCCCUGUAGUCCUAGCAGUAAACGGUGCUCGCUUGGUGUGGGAGGAUUCGACCCCUUCUGUGCCGGAGCUAACGCGUUAAGCGAGCCGCCUGGGAAGUACGGUCGCAAGACUAAAACUCAAAGAAAUUGACGGGGACCCGCACAAGCGGUGGAGUAUGUGGCUUAAUUCGAUGCAACGCGAAGAACCUUACCUAGGCUUGACAUGCUUGUCGUACUCUCCCGAAAAGGAGAGGUCACUUCGGGUGGACAAUGCACAGGUGCUGCAUGGCC